ACGGGUGAGUAACACGUGAGCAACCUACCCCUGACUCUGGGAUAAGCGCUGGAAACGGCGUCUAAUACUGGAUAUGUGGCGUGACCGCAUGGUCUGCGUCUGGAAAGAAUUUCGGUUGGGGAUGGGCUCGCGGCCUAUCAGCUUGUUGGUGAGGUAAUGGCUCACCAAGGCGUCGACGGGUAGCCGGCCUGAGAGGGUGACCGGCCACACUGGGACUGAGACACGGCCCAGACUCCUACGGGAGGCAGCAGUGGGGAAUAUUGCACAAUGGGCGCAAGCCUGAUGCAGCAACGCCGCGUGAGGGAUGACGGCCUUCGGGUUGUAAACCUCUUUUAGCAGGGAAGAAGCGAAAGUGACGGUACCUGCAGAAAAAGCGCCGGCUAACUACGUGCCAGCAGCCGCGGUAAUACGUAGGGCGCAAGCGUUAUCCGGAAUUAUUGGGCGUAAAGAGCUCGUAGGCGGUUUGUCGCGUCUGCUGUGAAAUCCGGAGGCUCAACCUCCGGCCUGCAGUGGGUACGGGCAGACUAGAGUGCGGUAGGGGAGAUUGGAAUUCCUGGUGUAGCGGUGGAAUGCGCAG
Molecule: ribosomal RNA, 577 nt
Filed under: Microbacterium sp. BvORR155
Lineage: Bacteria; Bacillati; Actinomycetota; Actinomycetes; Micrococcales; Microbacteriaceae
Description: bacterial SSU rRNA
Rfam family: Bacterial small subunit ribosomal RNA
Source: RNAcentral